GUAGCAUGCGGGUGCUAUACAUGCAGUCGAGCGAACUGAUUAGAAGCUUGCUUCUAUGACGUUAGCGGCGGACGGGUGAGUAACACGUGGGCAACCUGCCUGUAAGACUGGGAUAACUUCGGGAAACCGAAGCUAAUACCGGAUAGGAUCUUCUCCUUCAUGGGAGAUGAUUGAAAGAUGGUUUCGGCUAUCACUUACAGAUGGGCCCGCGGUGCAUUAGCUAGUUGGUGAGGUAACGGCUCACCAAGGCAACGAUGCAUAGCCGACCUGAGAGGGUGAUCGGCCACACUGGGACUGAGACACGGCCCAGACUCCUACGGGAGGCAGCAGUAGGGAAUCUUCCGCAAUGGACGAAAGUCUGACGGAGCAACGCCGCGUGAGUGAUGAAGGCUUUCGGGUCGUAAAACUCUGUUGUUAGGGAAGAACAAGUACGAGAGUAACUGCUCGUACCUUGACGGUACCUAACCAGAAAGCCACGGCUAACUACGUGCCAGCAGCCGCGGUAAUACGUAGGUGGCAAGCGUUAUCCGGAAUUAUUGGGCGUAAAGCGCGCGCAGGCGGUUUCUUAAGUCUGAUGUGAAAGCCCACGGCUCAACCGUGGAGGGUCAUUGGAAACUGGGGAACUUGAGUGCAGAAGAGA
Molecule: ribosomal RNA, 640 nt
Filed under: Bacillus sp. (in: firmicutes)
Lineage: Bacteria; Bacillati; Bacillota; Bacilli; Caryophanales; Bacillaceae
Description: bacterial SSU rRNA
Rfam family: Bacterial small subunit ribosomal RNA
Source: RNAcentral